UGGUGGAGUGAUCUGUCUGGUUAAUUCCGAUAACGAACGAGACCUUAUCCUGCUAAAUAGACUGCCUAAUGUAAAUUGGGGUUUCAGUCUUCUUAGAGGGACUGCGGACGUUUAGUCCGCGGAAGUUUGAGGCAAUAACA
RNAcentral lists this ribosomal RNA (140 nucleotides) under uncultured eukaryote. RNAcentral's name for it is "partial 18S ribosomal RNA". It matches the Rfam family "Eukaryotic small subunit ribosomal RNA", at positions 1299 to 1458 of the family's 1831-position model. The record is from RNAcentral.